UGAACCUGCGGAGGGAUCAUUACACAAAUAUGAAGGCGGGCUGGAACCUCUCGGGGUUACAGCCUUGCUGAAUUAUUCACUCUUGUCUUUUGCGUACUUCUUGUUUCCUUGGUGGGUUCGCCCACCACUAGGACAAACAUAAACCUUUUGUAAUUGCAAUCAGCGUCAGUAACAAAUUAAUAAUUACAACUUUCAACAACGGAUCUCUUGGUUCUGGCAUCGAUGAAGAACGCAGCGAAAUGCGAUAAGUAGUGUGAAUUGCAGAAUUCAGUGAAUCAUCGAAUCUUUGAACGCACAUUGCGCCCUUUGGUAUUCCAAAGGGCAUGCCUGUUCGAGCGUCAUUUGUACCCUCAAGCUUUGCUUGGUGUUGGGCGUCUUGUCUCUAGCUUUGCUGGAGACUCGCCUUAAAGUAAUUGGCAGCCGGCCUACUGGUUUCGGAGCGCAGCACAAGUCGCACUCUCUAUCAGCAAAGGUCUAGCAUCCAUUAAGCCUUUUUUUUCAACUUUUGACCUCGGAUCAGGUAGGGAUACCCGCUGAACUUAAGCAUAUC
RNAcentral lists this ribosomal RNA (550 nucleotides) under uncultured fungus. RNAcentral's name for it is "eukaryotic LSU rRNA". The stretch from base 188 to 341 matches the Rfam family "5.8S ribosomal RNA". The record is from RNAcentral. Lineage: Eukaryota; Fungi.